CCAAACCUAUAGCUGAAAUAACAUUAAAGUUACAAGACAGUGAGCUCCAACGACUUGUGGACCAAGCGAUUUGGGGACUCGUGUCAAAAGAAGCCUGGGUACAUAGAAAUGGUAUACAGAGAGGAAUCCUUGUUCACCCUACUUGGGAAGAGUCGAGAAUUUAGCCUGAUGUAUGCGGUCUCACCGGAAUUCGCAUGGAAGUUUUCGGACUCUUCUAAGAACUUUGGAAUGCCUUACCGGCCGCUAAGCCUAUGGACAUCCUACGUGUAAGCUGGUUAUUGCCGCAUCUUAACCAAAUGCCUUUAGCCUAGUGGUAUCAAAUAAUAGGUAGUGCCAAGUAGAGACAAUUGUUUAUUUAGGUAAAUGUAGAUAAUUGUCUUUUAAAAAACCUUGUAAUUUGGCCUUGGUUAAUGUCUAUACAGAGCUUACUAAGAGGCAUAUUUCAUAACA
Erigeron canadensis is the source of this 450-nucleotide long non-coding RNA. RefSeq lists it as uncharacterized. The transcript is spliced from 2 exons. The record is from RefSeq and is a predicted model, not a curated record. NCBI's taxonomy places the organism in Eukaryota, Viridiplantae, Streptophyta, Magnoliopsida, Asterales, Asteraceae.